UCACACUACCUGUGAUGAUCACUCCUGAC
This 29-nucleotide non-coding RNA is filed under the name Rattus norvegicus (Norway rat). The record is from RNAcentral. Lineage: Eukaryota; Metazoa; Chordata; Mammalia; Rodentia; Muridae.